Molecule: ribosomal RNA, 814 nt
Filed under: alpha proteobacterium SCGC AAA208-B11
Lineage: Bacteria; Pseudomonadati; Pseudomonadota; Alphaproteobacteria
Description: bacterial SSU rRNA
Rfam family: Bacterial small subunit ribosomal RNA
Source: RNAcentral
CGUACGCUGGCGGCACGCCUAACACCAUGCAAGUCGAACGCAGUAGCAAUACUGAGUGGCAGACGGGUGAGUAACAUGUGGGAAUCUGCCUUGUGGUUCAGGACAACAUUGGGAAACCGAUGCUAAUACUGGAUAAGCCCUUACGGGGAAAGUUUUAAUGCCAUAAGAUGAGCCCGCAUUUGAUUAGUUAGUUGGUGAGGUAAUGGCUCACCAAGACAAUGAUCAAUAGCUGAUCUGAGAGGAUGAUCAGCCACACUGGGACUGAGACACGGCCCAGACUCCUACGGGAGGCAGCAGUGGGGAAUCUUGCACAAUGGAGGAAACUCUGAUGCAGCGAUGCCGCGUGAGUGAAGAAGGCCUUUGGGUUGUAAAGCUCUUUUGUAGGGGAAGAUAAUGACUGUACCCUAAGAAUAAGGUCCGGCUAACUUCGUGCCAGCAGCCGCGGUAAUACGAAGGGACCUAGCGUAGUUCGGAAUUACUGGGCGUAAAGCGCGCGUAGGCCGUUGAGUUAGUUAAUUGUGAAAUCCCAAAGCUUAACUUUGGAACUGCAAUUAAAACUGCUCGACUAGAGUUUGAUAGAGGAAAGCGGAAUACAUAGUGUAGAGGUGAAAUUCGUAGAUAUUAUGUAGAACACCAGUUGCGAAGGCGGCUUUCUGGAUCAACACUGACGCUGAGGCGCGAAAGUAUGGGUAGCAAAGAGGAUUAGAUACCCUCGUAGUCCAUACCAUAAACGAUGAUUGCUAGAUGUUGGAAAUUUAUUUUCAGUAUCGCAGCUAACGCAUUAAGCAAUCCGCCUGGGGAGUACGACCGCAAG